Molecule: ribosomal RNA, 451 nt
Filed under: uncultured bacterium
Lineage: Bacteria
Description: partial 16S ribosomal RNA
Rfam family: Bacterial small subunit ribosomal RNA
Source: RNAcentral
GUGGGGAAUAUUGGACAAUGGGGGGAACCCUGAUCCAGCCAUGCCGCGUGUGUGAAGAAGGCCUUUUGGUUGUAAAGCACUUUAAGCGAGGAGGAGGCUACCGAGAUUAAUACUCUUGGAUAGUGGACGUUACUCGCAGAAUAAGCACCGGCUAACUCUGUGCCAGCAGCCGCGGUAAUACAGAGGGUGCACGCGUUAAUCGGAUUUACUGGGCGUAAAGCGCGCGUAGGUGGCCAAUUAAGUCAAAUGUGAAGUCCCCGAGCUUAACUUGGGAAUUGCAUUCGAUACUGGUUGGCUAGAGUAUGGGAGAGGAUGGUAGAAUUCCAGGUGUAGCGGUGAAAUGCGUAGAGAUCUGGAGGAAUACCGAUGGCGAAGGCAGCCAUCUGGCCUAAUACUGACACUGAGGUGCGAAAGCAUGGGGAGCAAACAGGAUUAGAAACCCGGGUAGUCC